Spinacia oleracea (spinach) is the source of this 1324-nucleotide RNA transcript. RefSeq lists it as uncharacterized. The transcript has 4 exons. The record is from RefSeq and is a predicted model, not a curated record. Lineage: Eukaryota; Viridiplantae; Streptophyta; Magnoliopsida; Caryophyllales; Amaranthaceae.
CCACCUUUUGUCUUUCCUAACAGAGGUCUUCUUCAUCUUCCUUCGGUCCCCUAUCUCUCUUCAGUCCCCCUUCUCCCAAAUCUCUCUCUUGAUAGAAUUUCUUCGUUGAUGCAUCAGUUAUUCUGUCAGGUCUGCUUAUCUCUCACCAGCUUCUGAACCUUCAAAUCGACGAAGGUCUCAUUAAAUUCUACUAUGCCGUUCUUCCUCACAUUAUUGGCGCUGGUUAUGGUGAUUCUUAGAUCAUUCCGCCUCUUCCAUGACGAUGUUCAAAUUCCGAAGCCCGUGGCUACUUUUAUCAUCCUGAUCGAUUGUGUUGCUGAUAAACUUCAUCACUGUAGCGAAGUUGUUGCGACAAUGCCUAAGGAGAAUAUUCGUGCAAGAGAGCCAUUUACUUCCCCGCUUUAUUUGUGAUUUGUAUGUAAACAACCACUGGAUAAGACUGAUCACAACUUGCAGAUGGUUGUGUUAGACGUUGUCCAAAAGCAUACCACCGAAGAUUUUUACCUUGAUCUACAAAAGUUAUCAAUGGAGCUUCAAAAGAAGAAAUCUGCAUGUUUAAAGCGCCUUCAACAUGGCUGCUAUUGUACCAUGUUAUGGUGGAUUGUGAAGUAGAAGAAGAUGACAGACUUCUUGAUUCUAAUACUAUAGGGAAAAUGUUCUCACGCUCCCAGCAGGAUCAGAAUAUCGCUGCUAAAGUAGUCGAGUUCACAUCAAAUUUUCAGACACAGGCACUGGCCUUCAAUAUAAUAAAUCGAAAGCGAGCCUUGGGGGAAUUUCUCUAUGAGGAGAGUUCACGAAGAAAAACGAGAAAUUAUUGAAGUACCGGCGGAAAUUGUGUCAAGGGCUGGCAAGGAGGUUCGCGAGGCUAAGAUGCGGAUGUCAGCCAUGCAGGCUGAGAAACCCCGAGCUGUAUCGCAGGCACGAGUUGAUGGCUCGAGCUUCAAUUAGAGUCAAUUCUCUUGGAUCAGAUGGAAAUGAUGCUUCAAUAAAUCAUCAGCUAACCUGACCAGGAGCAAGGGGUUUUUGAAUGAUGAGGAGGCAGAAAAUGGAGACACGGGAAUGCAAGAAGACAUUGCCUAAAAGUGGGGAAUUUGAUCAGGAUUCUAGAUGAUCUGUAGGCUGUAGGCAGUGGUAGUUCUGGGAGCUGAAAUAUAUAUGGAGUAUACUUUGUCUAGUGAUAUUUGGAAUUCUUUGUUUCCGGUUCUGGCUAUAUGAUAAUUUAGAAUACUUUUAUUUGUUAAACUGGUUUAUGUUAGCUUGCUUUGUAGUAUGAUUUAUUGGUUCAAAUUUAUAAUUGGAAUUCCAAACUGAUUGCAGCGGCCUA